Molecule: ribosomal RNA, 484 nt
Filed under: uncultured bacterium
Lineage: Bacteria
Description: partial 16S ribosomal RNA
Rfam family: Bacterial small subunit ribosomal RNA
Source: RNAcentral
AUUGAACGCUGGCGGCAGGCCUAACACAUGCAAGUCGAGCGGAUGAAGGGAGCUUGCUCCUGGAUUCAGCGGCGGACGGGUGAGUAAUGCCUAGGAAUCUGCCUGGUAGUGGGGGAUAACGUCCGGAAACGGGCGCUAAUACCGCAUACGUCCUGAGGGAGAAAGUGGGGGAUCUUCGGACCUCACGCUAUCAGAUGAGCCUAGGUCGGAUUAGCUAGUUGGUGGGGUAAAGGCCUACCAAGGCGACGAUCCGUAACUGGUCUGAGAGGAUGAUUAGUCACACUGGAACUGAGACACGGUCCAGACUCCUACGGGAGGCAGCAGUGGGGAAUAUUGGACAAUGGGCGAAAGCCUGAUCCAGCCAUGCCGCGUGUGUGAAGAAGGUCUUCGGAUUGUAAAGCACUUUAAGUUGGGAGGAAGGGCAGUAAGUUAAUACCUCGCUGUUUUGACGUUACCAACAGAAUAAGCACCGGCUAACUUCGUG